CGGCGGACGGGUGAGUAACACGUGGAUAACCUACCUAUAAGACUGGGAUAACUUCGGGAAACCGGAGCUAAUACCGGAUAAUAUAUUGAACCGCAUGGUUCAAUAGUGAAAGACGGUUUUGCUGUCACUUAUAGAUGGAUCCGCGCCGCAUUAGCUAGUUGGUAAGGUAACGGCUUACCAAGGCAACGAUGCGUAGCCGACCUGAGAGGGUGAUCGGCCACACUGGAACUGAGACACGGUCCAGACUCCUACGGGAGGCAGCAGCC
RNAcentral lists this ribosomal RNA (266 nucleotides) under uncultured Staphylococcus sp. RNAcentral's name for it is "partial 16S ribosomal RNA". It matches the Rfam family "Bacterial small subunit ribosomal RNA", at positions 96 to 355 of the family's 1533-position model. Lineage: Bacteria; Bacillati; Bacillota; Bacilli; Caryophanales; Staphylococcaceae. The record is from RNAcentral.